GACGAACGCUGGCGGCGUGCUUAACACAUGCAAGUCGAACGGAAAGGCCCUGCUUUUGUGGGGUGCUCGAGUGGCGAACGGGUGAGUAACACGUGAGUAACCUGCUCUUGACUUUGGGAUAACUUCAGGAAACUGGGGCUAAUACCGGAUAGGAGCUCCUGCUGCAUGGUGGGGGUUGGAAAGUUUCGGCGGUUGGGGAUGGACUCGCGGCUUAUCAGCUUGUUGGUGGGGUAGUGGCUUACCAAGGCUUUGACGGGUAGCCGGCCUGAGAGGGUGACCGGCCACAUUGGGACUGAGAUACGGCCCAGACUCCUACGGGAGGCAGCAGUGGGGAAUAUUGCACAAUGGGCGGAAGCCUGAUGCAGCAACGCCGCGGGCGGGAUGACGGCCUUCGGGUUGUAAACCGCUUCCGCCUGUGACGAAGCGUGAGUGACGGUAAUGGGUAAAGAAGCACCGGCUAACUACGUG
Molecule: ribosomal RNA, 468 nt
Filed under: uncultured bacterium
Lineage: Bacteria
Description: partial 16S ribosomal RNA
Rfam family: Bacterial small subunit ribosomal RNA
Source: RNAcentral